UAGGGAAUCUUCGGCAAUGGACGAAAGUCUGACCGAGCAACGCCGCGUGAGUGAAGAAGGUUUUCGGAUCGUAAAACUCUGUUGUUAGAGAAGAACAAGGACGUUAGUAACUGAACGUCCCCUGACGGUAACUAACCAGAAAGCCACGGCUAACUACGUGCCAGCAGCCGCGGUAAUACGUAGGUGGCAAGCGUUGGCCGGAUUUAUUGGGCGUAAAGCGAGCGCAGGCGGUGUCUUAAGUCUGAUGUGAAAGCCCCCGGCUCAACCGGGGAGGGUCAUUGGAAACUGGGAGACUUGAGUGCAGAAGAGGAGAGUGGAAUUCCAUGUGUAGCGGUGAAAGGCGUAGAUAUAUGGAGGAACACCAGUGGGGAAGGCGGCUCUCUGGUCUGUAACUGACGCUGAGGCUCGAAAGCGUGGGAAGCAAACAGG
This 429-nucleotide ribosomal RNA is filed under the name Gemmatimonadota bacterium. RNAcentral's name for it is "Gemmatimonadetes bacterium partial 16S ribosomal RNA". It matches the Rfam family "Bacterial small subunit ribosomal RNA", at positions 355 to 776 of the family's 1533-position model. The record is from RNAcentral. Lineage: Bacteria; Pseudomonadati; Gemmatimonadota.